GUAGGUGAACCUGCGGAAGGAUCAUUAUUGAAUAAAUCUGACAUGGUUGUAGCUGGCUCCUCGGGGCAUGUGCUCGCCUGUCACCUUUAUCUUUCCACCUGUGCACACACUGUAGUCCUGGAUACCUCUCGCCGCAAGGCGGAUGCAGAGACUGCCGUUCCACCUUCGGGAGGUCGGCUUUCUCUGAAUUUCCAGGUCUAUGAUUAUCACAUACCCCAAUUGAAUGUUUCAGAAUGUUAUCAAAGGGCCU
This 250-nucleotide unclassified non-coding RNA is filed under the name plant metagenome. RNAcentral's name for it is "partial contains small subunit ribosomal RNA, internal transcribed spacer 1, and 5.8S ribosomal RNA". The record is from RNAcentral.